Molecule: non-coding RNA, 172 nt
Filed under: Idiomarina sp. A28L
Lineage: Bacteria; Pseudomonadati; Pseudomonadota; Gammaproteobacteria; Alteromonadales; Idiomarinaceae
Also listed under: 1 other name
Description: Lysine riboswitch aptamer
Rfam family: Lysine riboswitch aptamer
About the family: Riboswitches are metabolite binding domains within certain messenger RNAs that serve as precision sensors for their corresponding targets.
Source: Rfam by way of RNAcentral
UUUAUCAGAAGAGGUGCGUUUGCCAGGCAAGCUGUAGUAGGGUGCCAAAACCCAAUGAAUACAGCCUAGGGGGCACAACGCCGAGAUACGAACGAUUUGGCGGCGUUCGUAUCGGUGGUUAGGGUUGAAUCUCUGCUACUGUCACCGUUUCAGGUGGAGAGCUUCUGGGGCG